This 555-nucleotide ribosomal RNA is filed under the name uncultured bacterium. Its description in RNAcentral is "partial 16S ribosomal RNA". It matches the Rfam family "Bacterial small subunit ribosomal RNA", at positions 356 to 902 of the family's 1533-position model. The record is from RNAcentral.
UGGGAAUUUUGGACAAUGGGCGAAAGCCUGAUCCAGCAAUGCCGCGUGUGUGAAGAAGGCCUUCGGGUUGUAAAGCACUUUUGUCCGGAAAGAAAUCCUUGGCUCUAAUACAGUCGGGGGAUGACGGUACCGGAAGAAUAAGCACCGGCUAACUACGUGCCAGCAGCCGCGGUAAUACGUAGGGUGCAAGCGUUAAUCGGAAUUACUGGGCGUAAAGCGUGCGCAGGCGGUUUGCUAAGACCGAUGUGAAAUCCCCGGGCUCAACCUGGGAACUGCAUUGGUGACUGGCAGGCUAGAGUAUGGCAGAGGGGGGUAGAAUUCCACGUGUAGCAGUGAAAUGCGUAGAGAUGUGGAGGAAUACCGAUGGCGAAGGCAGCCCCCUGGGCCAAUACUGACGCUCAUGCACGAAAAGCGUGGGGAGCAAAACAGGAUUAGAUACCCUGGUAGUCCACGCCCUAAACGAUGUCAACUAGUUGUUGGGGAUUCAUUUCCUUAGUAACGUAGCUAACGCGUGAAGUUGACCGCCUGGGGAGUACGGUCGCAAGAUUAAAACUC